Molecule: long non-coding RNA, 163 nt
Organism: Gymnogyps californianus (California condor)
Lineage: Eukaryota; Metazoa; Chordata; Aves; Accipitriformes; Cathartidae
Exons: 3
Source: RefSeq, a predicted model, not a curated record
AAGGGCGCGCUCACUUCCGGUCUCUGCGCAGGGGAGGGUGCUGUUGGAGAGCUCUGAGCCCGGCCUGGAACCAUGCCUCGCAAGAUUGAGGAGAUUAAAGAUUUUCUGCUGACAGCCAGGAGGAAGGACGCAAAGUGUGAGUGCUGAGGCUGCCGUGGGUGUC